Gammaproteobacteria bacterium is the source of this 210-nucleotide non-coding RNA. The record is from Rfam. NCBI's taxonomy places the organism in Bacteria, Pseudomonadati, Pseudomonadota, Gammaproteobacteria.
AGACUCCCACCUGGGUAAUCGUUAGCCACGAGCCCAGUAUCCAGCCUUGCUGAACGCACGGUAACGGGCGGUUUGAUGCGUAGGCAGGAAAGCAGGCGAGGUGCAAGGGUAACGGGUGAAGCCGACCUUGAAGGUGUAGAGCCCCGAAAUUUUCAGGUGGAGAGUGCCGACGGGUUUGUCCCUCCGGCAGGCAACAACCCGCGUAGCGCC